This 440-nucleotide ribosomal RNA is filed under the name uncultured bacterium. RNAcentral describes it as "partial 16S ribosomal RNA". It matches the Rfam family "Bacterial small subunit ribosomal RNA", at positions 338 to 795 of the family's 1533-position model. The record is from RNAcentral.
CCUACGGGAGGCAGCAGUGGGGGAUAUUGCACAAUGGGGGAAACCCUGAUGCAGCGACGCCGCGUGUGGGAAGACGGUCCUCUGGAUUGUAAACCACUGUCCCCAGGGACGAAGAUGACGGUACCUGGGGAGGAAGCUCCGGCUAACUACGUGCCAGCAGCCGCGGUAAUACGUAGGGAGCGAGCGUUGUCCGGAAUUACUGGGUGUAAGGGGAGCGUAGGCGGGACUGCAAGUUGGGUGUAAAAUCUACCGGCUCAACCGGUAGCCGCACUCAAAACUGCAGUUCUUGAGUGAAGUAGAGGCAGGCGGAAUUCGUAGUGUAGCGGUGAAAUGCGUAGAUAUUAGGCGGAACACCAGUGGCGAAGGCGGCCUGCUGGGCUUUUACUGACGCUGAGGCUCGAAAGUGUGGGGAGCAAACAGGAUUAGAUACCCUUGUAGUC